RNAcentral lists this long non-coding RNA (1091 nucleotides) under Ursus maritimus (polar bear). RNAcentral's name for it is "lncRNA (ENSUMAG00000023897.1)". The record is from RNAcentral. Lineage: Eukaryota; Metazoa; Chordata; Mammalia; Carnivora; Ursidae.
UAUUUGCUGUGUCAAUAGCCCACACCUUCUCUACUAACUUGACUUUCAGCUCUCAGAGAAGAUGAAACCCAAAUAUAAUAGAUACCACCCCUACUCGUAGGCAAGCUUGCCAAAGAACAGCUCAACCCGUGUUGGUACUCUGCAUCAUCCUGAAGACAAAACCAUCUCCCCAUGGAAGGGUGUUGUGCACAGACGAGAUGGACGAGAAGUGAAAAUAGCCACAGUAAGGAAGACAGUACAUGUAAUAUUCGAUAUAGCUCCUUUGAUUUUUUUUCAACCAGCAUAUACUGGGGAACCUCUUAAGUGCUAGUGACUGAGGAUAUAGGAACGAUGGCCCCGACCUGUAAGAACUCAGAAUUUUGCAUCUGAGAUGGAUAAGUAAGCAAACAGUUUCUAUCAGACUUACAAGUGGUCUAAGAUAAAGGAUAGAAAAUGCUGUUGGAGCAGAGUGGAGGAGGUGCUCACAUUGUCUGAAGGAGUCAGAAGAGGCCUUGCUGAGGAAGCAACCAUUAAGCCCUGUUGGCUGAGUCUUGAAAGAUGAACAAGCAGGCGUGCACCAGGUGAAAUGAGCAUAGAAGGUCAUUGCUGACAUUGGGAACAGUGUGUGGCAAAAACACAGAGGCACGAAAGAGUUUGGUUAGAGAAAUGGGAUCCAUGGAGUCACUGGAUAGAAGAGACAUGAUAAAGGACCAUCAACCUUGACAGAUACUAAGAAGACCUUGUUUGCCUGCUGACGGGCUAGGACUUUGCUCUGGAGGCGAAGGGGGUUUUAAACUAAAAAACAAGAUGAUUAAUUUGUUUUCAGGAAAGAUAACUGAGCGGUUGAUGGGGUGCAAAGAGGAAAGACUAGAGGCUGGGAGACUGGAAGCAUAUGAAGAUAAGAAGCUCAUCUGGGUUACAUAAUCAGGAAGUUGAUGGGGUCUCAGGAAGAGAGGCUAGACCUCUUGGCUCCUGGUUUGAGCUUUUUUGAUUAGAUUGCUCCUCCUGCCACAUCUUUGAAACCUGCCUACUAAGCAAACCUUGACCUAAAAUUACAGUGCUCAUCUGAACAGGAAAAUAAAGCAUACCAAAUUGCAACUAAGUUUGAUUUG